RNAcentral lists this ribosomal RNA (439 nucleotides) under uncultured bacterium. RNAcentral's name for it is "partial 16S ribosomal RNA". It matches the Rfam family "Bacterial small subunit ribosomal RNA", at positions 339 to 795 of the family's 1533-position model. The record is from RNAcentral.
CUACGGGUGGCUCCAGUGAGGAAUAUUGCACAAUGGGGGGAACCCUGAUGCAGCAACACCGCGUGGAGGAUGACACAUUUCGGUGUGUAAACUCCUUUUAUAUGUCAAGAAAAUGACGGUAGCAUAUGAAUAAGCACCGGCUAACUCCGUGCCAGCAGCCGCGGUAAUACGGAGGGUGCAAGCGUUACUCGGAAUCACUGGGCGUAAAGGACGCGUAGGCGGGUUGGAAAGUCAGGUGUGAAAUCCUACAGCUUAACCGUAGAACUGCACUUGAAACUUCUAAUCUAGAGUAUGGGAGGGGGAGAUGGAAUUAGUGGUGUAGGGGUAAAAUCCGUAGAUAUCACUAGGAAUACCUAAAGCGAAGGCGAUCUCCUGGAACAUUACUGACGCUAAGGCGUGAAAGCGUGGGGAGCAAACAGGAUUAGAUACCCCAGUAGUC